Molecule: transfer RNA, 73 nt
Filed under: Lachnospiraceae bacterium
Lineage: Bacteria; Bacillati; Bacillota; Clostridia; Lachnospirales; Lachnospiraceae
Also listed under: 2 other names
Description: tRNA-Phe
Rfam family: tRNA
About the family: Transfer RNA (tRNA) molecules are approximately 80 nucleotides in length. Their secondary structure includes four short double-helical elements and three loops (D, anti-codon, and T loops).
Source: RNAcentral
GCCCAGAUAGCUCAGUUGGUAGAGCAGAGGACUGAAAAUCCUCGUGUCACUGGUUCGAUCCCGGUUCUGGGCA